This is a long non-coding RNA of Cannabis sativa, 1969 nucleotides long. RefSeq lists it as uncharacterized. Lineage: Eukaryota; Viridiplantae; Streptophyta; Magnoliopsida; Rosales; Cannabaceae. The transcript is spliced from 2 exons. The record is from RefSeq and is a predicted model, not a curated record.
CGAACCUAACGCCUAUUUUGGUGGAAUGGGAAUCGCUCCACUUCGGUUCAAUGCGAUAUUUUGCUUGGGUUUAAACACGAUAGAAAUUAGGUUUUAAACUCUAUUUUCGUUCACCCAAAACAGAGAACCAACGAGAGAGAGAGAGAGCACGUAUACGGCGUAUACGGUACCGAAAACUUUCGUUUCUUCAAGCGGAGUGAAACCUGGGUGAACGUGGGGGUUUGGGAUCACUUAUAUACGACCUAAGGAAGCUUUUUAACGUGGUAUAAGGGGCGGAAGUCGUCGUUUUGAGAUUCGCCAUUUUUGAAGCUUCAAAGGUGCGGCUUAGUUACGGACUCGAAUUCGAACGUGUUUAAGCUUGUUCUUGGGUCAAGGGAGGUUAUAUUUGAGUGCAUGGGACCCUAAGGAUUGUUUUUGACGUAAGAAAACGAAGCUUUAACGUCCAAAACGAAAAUCCAAAAUUUUGACUCCAUUAAAGGCGGUACACCGCCAACGAAGAAGACAACCCCGAUCUGCCUUCUCGGACCAUUUUUCUUGAUCGUUUUGAGGUCCUGAGCAUUGUGGAGAGCUUCCCCAAUCGAAAGGACGCUUCAAGAGCCAUCGGAGACAAAGUUACACUUUACCGGCGACGAAACCGACGAGAACGCCGGCGACCGCGUUCUGACCGUUUCUGAGGUGUUUUUCUUAGAUAUUUUUGUAUAUUUUGAUUCCUUAUUUUAUUCUAAGGUGCUUGGUGAAGUUUCAUAAUUUUCUGAAUUUAUUUGGAAUUAUUGUGAAUUAUUUAGUAUAAUUCAUAGAUUAAUUAUGAAAAAUACUUAGAUUACUCAGAAAAAUCUAAAUAUAUUUUAUAUGAUUAGUUAUGAGAUAUAAACUAUUGCAAAAUUGGUAGAUUCGAAUUUCGGUUAAUUUUGUAUUUUUCAUGAAUUAUUUGUGUUAUUUAUUAAAUUAAUUAUGAAAAAUACUUAGGUUGCUCAGAAAAAUCUAGAUUAAUUUUAUUUGAUGGACUAUGAUAUAUAAACUGUUAUAAAAUUGGUAGAUUGAAUUUUCAGGCGAUUAUGUAUUUUUCAUGAAUUAUUGAUGUUAUUUCUUAUUUAAAUUAUGAAAAAUACCUAGGAUGCUUAGAAAAUUCAAAGAAAAUUAUUUAUGACCUAUUACAGAUUAUAAAGUGUAUUAGAAGAGUUAGAUUCGGUUUUUAAUCAAUUUUGGUAUUUUUCAUGAAUUUACUUAAUUAAUGCUUAAGUUAAUUAUGAAAAAUAGAUAAGUGUUGUUAAAAUAGUAAAAUGUAUUUUUGAAAUACCAUUUACUGCCUAUGAUAUCAAAAGGAAUAGGUUUUAUGAUUUAUUAGUUGCUGUAGGUAUUUAUUAUAAUUAUUGGUGAUUAAUUAACUAUUUAUUUGGAGUUUAAUAAGAAUAAAUAGUAUUUUAGUAAAUUUUACGUAAAAAUGUGUUGUAUGAAUUCAUGUUUUACGUUAAGAAUGUUUGUUUGAGUCCAUGCAAUAUGUUUGUGUGAAUCAAAAUAAUAAAUGCUUAUGUAUGGUGUGUCAUGCAAGUGAAAUGGACCUAUGUGUUACGUAUUUUUACGUAAGUUUCUGUAUGAGUUUAGAGAUUCAUACUUGAAUGUAUUUUGAGUGUAUUGUUGUGUUAAUGAAUGUCUAGGAUCUUGUUCUCAACAAGGAAAUUCGUUGAGGUGCUCGAGGUAGCAAGUGUGGUCUUAGCAACUGAGGUAAGGGUAAGGCUAAGCAGUGAGAAUGAAGAGCUCGAGGCGUGGACCGCAUGUUAGGGGGCUGGCACAGUAUUUUGCUUUUAAUGUUUUUAACUGCUAAACAUUUUGGAACUAUUAUUUUGACUUAACUAGUUCUUAUUUAAGUUUACAGUACUAAAAGUAUUUUGUUUUAAACAAUGAGAUCUCAUGCUUGGAUAUUUUUCAAUAAAGCAGUAUUUGAUUGUCUUUAUCUUAUUAAAUUAUUUUA